This is a long non-coding RNA of Bombus pascuorum, 704 nucleotides long. RefSeq lists it as uncharacterized. The transcript has 2 exons. NCBI's taxonomy places the organism in Eukaryota, Metazoa, Arthropoda, Insecta, Hymenoptera, Apidae. The record is from RefSeq and is a predicted model, not a curated record.
GGCCACCCUUGAAUCAUUAAACUUUCUUUAACAUUUAAAACUCUAUUACACAAAAUUUGUAAAAAUUCUCCUUUUUCUCUCCUUCAAAAUUAAAAGAAAAUACAUUGUUUGUCGUAGUAAUUAUGCUUUCUCUAUUCUUCGAUUCUUAAUUAAUAAUAAUUCAGCUGAUUAAUAAUUAAGCUCCUCUAAGUUCUGGCAAAUUUCUUUAUCUAUUUUUCUGAAGAAACACCCGUAUAAACGAUAAGAAAUCAGGCCAGAGACCUACAACGCUUUACUAAAAGACUAGUAUUGCCGGCGGACGGUUGAUAUUGAUAUUUUCAAGUAUGUAAAAUAUUCUUACAGGGGUGAUAUAGACGAGGCUAAUAAAGUAUCCAAAAAUUGAAACGAUCAGCACCAGCUUCCAGUUUUUCACGUUCGGAAAAUGAUCGCAGAGGAUGUUAAAAACAGCGCUGCAAAGGGCCACGGCGCUUCCGAUGCCAAGAACAAACAUCAUCACGAAAAACAAGACGGCAAAAAGUUGAGGAACCACCUGGAACUGGGACAGUGCUUCGGGAUAGGAGAUGAAAGCCAGUCCUGUACCACCGCGGACCACUUUCGAUAUAUCCGUGGUGCCCAUUUCGUGAGCUAGAUUUCCAAGAAUGCCGAAAAUCGUGCAUCCUGCUAUUAGACUGGUGAAGGUGUCCAAAGUCGUCACUAUCAUCACG